CUCUACCAUUUUCUAAAACCGUAGCCGCAACCUUACUUUCCUUCCCUGCUAUUUGAGCGCUCCGCCGUUUUUCAGCCUCAGAAUCCUUGCCUAAACUCCGAUCGUGACGAAGCAACAAGGAUUCCAGGCGAUAUUAAGGCGUUUGUUGCGAGUGCAGGUACGGAGGUGUGCGGGUCUGGUGUGUGCAGAGGUGUGUGGCGUGGCUCGGCUCGGAGGCGCACGUGGGGAGGCCACACAUGGGGGCUUGCGGCAGCUGAGAUCCUAAAAACCCUAGGGUUUCUGGUUUGCUUGGUACUGGGCCAUCGGGCCAGGGAUAGCCAAUGGGCUGGUGUUGGAUAUUUGGAACUUGGGUUUAGGGUCUGUAUAGAGCCUCUGCAAUUGGGCUAAUGUUACUGUUUUUGGACUUUAAAUUUUUCUUUUGUAUUAUUUGGUUUGCAGGCCCGGGCAAAUAUUGGGCCUUACAAAAGCAAUAAUAUCACUUUUGCACAA
Molecule: long non-coding RNA, 489 nt
Organism: Gossypium raimondii (Peruvian cotton)
Lineage: Eukaryota; Viridiplantae; Streptophyta; Magnoliopsida; Malvales; Malvaceae
Exons: 2
Source: RefSeq, a predicted model, not a curated record